GACGAACGCUGGCGGCGUGCUUAACACAUGCAAGUCGAACGGAAAGGCCCCUUUGGGGGUACUCGAGUGGCGAACGGGUGAGUAACACGUGAGUAACCUGCCCUUGACUUCGGGAUAACUUCAGGAAACUGGGGCUAAUACCGGAAAGGAAUCCUUGCUUCAUGGUGGGGGUUGGAAAGCUUCGGCGGUUUUGGAUGGACUUGCGGGUUAUCAGCUUGUUGGUGGGGUAGUGGCUUACCAAGGCUUUGACGGGUAGCCGGCCUGAGAGGGCGACCGGCCACAGUGGGACUGAGAUACGGCCCAGACUCCUACGGGAGGCAGCAGGGGGGAAUAUUGCACAAUGGGCGGAAGCCUGAUGCAGCAACGCCGCGUGCGGGAUGACGGCCUUCGGGUUGUAAACCGCUUUCAGCAGGGGCGAAGCUUGUGGUGACGGUACCUGCAGAAGAAGCACCGGCUAACUACGUG
This 465-nucleotide ribosomal RNA is filed under the name uncultured bacterium. RNAcentral's name for it is "partial 16S ribosomal RNA". It matches the Rfam family "Bacterial small subunit ribosomal RNA", at positions 28 to 507 of the family's 1533-position model. The record is from RNAcentral.